AUACGUAGGGGGCAAGCGUUAUCCGGAUUUACUGGGUGUAAAGGGAGCGUAGACGGAAGGCCAAGUCUGAUGUGAAAGCCCGCGGCUCAACUGCGGGACUGCAUUGGAAACUGGUCAUCUGGAGUGCAGGAGGGGUAAGCGGAAUUCCUAGUGUAGCGGUGAAAUGCGUAGAUAUUAGGAGGAACACCGGUGGCGAAGGCGGCUUGCUGGACUGUAUCUGCCGUUGGGGCUCGAAAGCGUGGGGGGCACACAGGAUUAGAUUCCCUGGUGGUCCACGCCGUAAACGAUGAAUACUAGGUGUCGGGUUUCUAUAGAGAUUCGGUGCCGCAGCAAACGCAAUAAGUAUUCCACCUGGGGAGUACGUUCGCAAGAAUGAAACUCAAAUGAAUUGACGGGG
RNAcentral lists this ribosomal RNA (397 nucleotides) under uncultured bacterium. RNAcentral describes it as "partial 16S ribosomal RNA". It matches the Rfam family "Bacterial small subunit ribosomal RNA", at positions 523 to 918 of the family's 1533-position model. The record is from RNAcentral.